RNAcentral lists this ribosomal RNA (669 nucleotides) under uncultured euryarchaeote. Its description in RNAcentral is "bacterial SSU rRNA". It matches the Rfam family "Archaeal small subunit ribosomal RNA", at positions 21 to 696 of the family's 1478-position model. Lineage: Archaea; Methanobacteriati; Methanobacteriota. The record is from RNAcentral.
AGCCNCGUUUCGGNUCCGUUUAGCCUGCUAGUUGCACGGGUUUAGACCCGUGGCGAAAAGCUCAGUAACACGUGGCCAAGCUACCCUGUGGACCAGGAUAACCUCGGGAAACUGAGGAUAAUCCUGGAUAACGCUCCCCCACUGGAAUGUGGGGAGCCGGAAACGCUCCGGCGCCACAGGAUGCGGCUGCGGCCGAUUAGGUUGACGGUGGGGUAACGGCCCACCGUGCCCAUAAUCGGUACGGGUUGUGAGAGCAAGAGCCUGGAGACGGAAUCUGAGACAAGAUUCCGGGCCCUACGGGGCGCAGCAGGCGCGAAACCUUUACACUGCACGACAGUGCGAUAAGGGGACUCCGAGUGCGAGGGCAUAGAGCCCUCGCUUUUCUGUACCGUAAGGUGGUACAGGAAGAAGGGCUGGGCAAGACCGGUGCCAGCCGCCGCGGUAAUACCGGCAGCCCAAGUGAUGGCCGAUAUUAUUGGGCCUAAAGCGUCCGUAGCCGGCCGGACAAGUCCGUUGGGAAAUCCGCAUGCUUAACGUGCGGGCGUCCAGCGGAAACCGUCCGGCUUGGGACCGGAAGACCCGAGGGGUACGUCCGGGGUAGGAGUGAUAACCUGUAAUCCCGGACGGACCACCUGUGGCGAAAGCGCCUNGGGAAAGACGGAUCCNACC